Molecule: ribosomal RNA, 339 nt
Filed under: Archaeoglobales archaeon
Lineage: Archaea; Methanobacteriati; Methanobacteriota; Archaeoglobi; Archaeoglobales
Description: bacterial SSU rRNA
Rfam family: Archaeal small subunit ribosomal RNA
Source: RNAcentral
AGGUCAGUAUGCCCUGAAUCCCCGGGGCCACACGCGGGCUACAAUGGCGCGGACAAUGGGUGGCGAACCCGAAAGGGGGAGCCAAUCCCUAAACCGCGCCUCAGUUGGGAUCGAGGGCUGCAAACCGUCCUCGUGAACCUGGAAUCCCUAGUAACCGCGCGUCAUCAUCGCGCGGUGAAUACGUCCCUGCUCCUUGCACACACUGCCCGUCGCUUCACCCGAGCUGGGUGGGGCUGAACCCCUCGUCCCUAGGGCGGGGGGUGAAGCCUCGCCUGGUGAGGGGGAAGAAGUCGUAACAAGGUGGCCGUACGGGAACGUGCGGCCGGAUCACCUCCUAAG